RNAcentral lists this ribosomal RNA (253 nucleotides) under uncultured bacterium. Its description in RNAcentral is "partial 16S ribosomal RNA". It matches the Rfam family "Bacterial small subunit ribosomal RNA", at positions 524 to 776 of the family's 1533-position model. The record is from RNAcentral.
UACGAAGGGGACUAGCGUUGUUCGGAAUCACUGGGCGUAAAGCGCACGUAGGCGGAUGUGUCAGUCAGGGGUGAAAUCCCCGGGCUCAACCUGGGAACUGCAUUUGUGACUGCAGGGCUGGAGUCCGGGAGAGGAGGGUGGAAUUCCCAGUGUAGCGGUGAAAUGCGUAGAUAUUGGGAGGAACACCGGUGGCGAAGGCGGCCCUCUGGACCGGUACUGACGCUGAUGCGCGAAAGCGUGGGGAGCAAACGGG